AGUGAACGCUGGCGGUAGGCCUAACACAUGCAAGUCGAACGGCAGCACAGUAAGAGCUUGCUCUUACGGGUGGCGAGUGGCGGAAGGGUGAGGAAUACAUCGGAAUCUACUUUUUCGUGGGGGAUAACGUAGGGAAACUUACGCUAAUACAGCAUACGACCUACGGGUGAAAGCAGGGGAUCUUCGGACCUUGCGCGAUUGAAUGAGCCGAUGUGGGAUUAGCUAGUUGGCGGGGUAAAGGCCCACCAAGGCGACGAUCCGUAGCUGGUCUGAGAGGAUGGUCAGCCACACUGGAACUGGGACACGGUCCAGACUCCUACGGGAGGCAGCAGUGGGGAAUAUUGGACAAUGGGCGCAAGCCUGAUCCAGCCAUACCGCGUGUGUGAAGAAGGCCUUCGGGUUGUAAAGCCCUUUUGUUGGGAAAGAAAAGCAGCAGGUUAAUACCCCGCUGUUCUGACGGUACCCAAAGAAUAAGCACCGGCUAACUUCGUG
Molecule: ribosomal RNA, 492 nt
Filed under: uncultured bacterium
Lineage: Bacteria
Description: partial 16S ribosomal RNA
Rfam family: Bacterial small subunit ribosomal RNA
Source: RNAcentral